RNAcentral lists this ribosomal RNA (403 nucleotides) under uncultured bacterium. Its description in RNAcentral is "partial 16S ribosomal RNA". It matches the Rfam family "Bacterial small subunit ribosomal RNA", at positions 30 to 526 of the family's 1533-position model. The record is from RNAcentral.
AUUGAACGCUGGCGGCAGGCCUAACACAUGCAAGUCGAGCGAGCGGCGGACGGGUGAGUAAUGUAUGGGGACUGCCCGAUAGAGGGGGAUAACUACUGGAAACAGUGUCUCAAAUCGCACACUGUCGCAUAACCCAUAUGGGAUUAGCUAGUAGGUGAGGUAAUGGCUUACCUAGGCGACGAUCCCUAGCUGGGCUGAGAGGAUGAUCAGCCACACUGGGACUGAGACACGGCCCAGACUCCUACGGAGGCAGCAGUGGGGAAUAUUGCACAAUGGGCGCAAGCCUGAUGCAGCCAUGCCGCGUGUAUGAAGAAGGCCUUAGGGUUGUAAAGUACUUUCAGCCGGGAGGCGUUACCGACAGAAGAAGCACCGGCUAACUCCGUGCCAGCAGCCGCGGUAAUUC